Molecule: ribosomal RNA, 2925 nt
Filed under: Escherichia coli
Lineage: Bacteria; Pseudomonadati; Pseudomonadota; Gammaproteobacteria; Enterobacterales; Enterobacteriaceae
Description: partial 23S ribosomal RNA
Rfam family: Bacterial large subunit ribosomal RNA
Source: RNAcentral
GGGUUGUGAGGUUAAGCGACUAAGCGUACACGGUGGAUGCCCUGGCAGUCAGAGGCGAUGAAGGACGUGCUAAUCUGCGAUAAGCGUCGGUAAGGUGAUAUGAACCGUUAUAACCGGCGAUUUCCGAAUGGGGAAACCCAGUGUGUUUCGACACACUAUCAUUAACUGAAUCCAUAGGUUAAUGAGGCGAACCGGGGGAACUGAAACAUCUAAGUACCCCGAGGAAAAGAAAUCAACCGAGAUUCCCCCAGUAGCGGCGAGCGAACGGGGAGCAGCCCAGAGCCUGAAUCAGUGUGUGUGUUAGUGGAAGCGUCUGGAAAGGCGCGCGAUACAGGGUGACAGCCCCGUACACAAAAAUGCACAUGCUGUGAGCUCGAUGAGUAGGGCGGGACACGUGGUAUCCUGUCUGAAUAUGGGGGGACCAUCCUCCAAGGCUAAAUACUCCUGACUGACCGAUAGUGAACCAGUACCGUGAGGGAAAGGCGAAAAGAACCCCGGCGAGGGGAGUGAAAAAGAACCUGAAACCGUGUACGUACAAGCAGUGGGAGCACGCUUAGGCGUGUGACUGCGUACCUUUUGUAUAAUGGGUCAGCGACUUAUAUUCUGUAGCAAGGUUAACCGAAUAGGGGAGCCGAAGGGAAACCGAGUCUUAACUGGGCGUUAAGUUGCAGGGUAUAGACCCGAAACCCGGUGAUCUAGCCAUGGGCAGGUUGAAGGUUGGGUAACACUAACUGGAGGACCGAACCGACUAAUGUUGAAAAAUUAGCGGAUGACUUGUGGCUGGGGGUGAAAGGCCAAUCAAACCGGGAGAUAGCUGGUUCUCCCCGAAAGCUAUUUAGGUAGCGCCUCGUGAAUUCAUCUCCGGGGGUAGAGCACUGUUUCGGCAAGGGGGUCAUCCCGACUUACCAACCCGAUGCAAACUGCGAAUACCGGAGAAUGUUAUCACGGGAGACACACGGCGGGUGCUAACGUCCGUCGUGAAGAGGGAAACAACCCAGACCGCCAGCUAAGGUCCCAAAGUCAUGGUUAAGUGGGAAACGAUGUGGGAAGGCCCAGACAGCCAGGAUGUUGGCUUAGAAGCAGCCAUCAUUUAAAGAAAGCGUAAUAGCUCACUGGUCGAGUCGGCCUGCGCGGAAGAUGUAACGGGGCUAAACCAUGCACCGAAGCUGCGGCAGCGACGCUUAUGCGUUGUUGGGUAGGGGAGCGUUCUGUAAGCCUGCGAAGGUGUACUGUGAGGUAUGCUGGAGGUAUCAGAAGUGCGAAUGCUGACAUAAGUAACGAUAAAGCGGGUGAAAAGCCCGCUCGCCGGAAGACCAAGGGUUCCUGUCCAACGUUAAUCGGGGCAGGGUGAGUCGACCCCUAAGGCGAGGCCGAAAGGCGUAGUCGAUGGGAAACAGGUUAAUAUUCCUGUACUUGGUGUUACUGCGAAGGGGGGACGGAGAAGGCUAUGUUGGCCGGGCGACGGUUGUCCCGGUUUAAGCGUGUAGGCUGGUUUUCCAGGCAAAUCCGGAAAAUCAAGGCUGAGGCGUGAUGACGAGGCACUACGGUGCUGAAGCAACAAAUGCCCUGCUUCCAGGAAAAGCCUCUAAGCAUCAGGUAACAUCAAAUCGUACCCCAAACCGACACAGGUGGUCAGGUAGAGAAUACCAAGGCGCUUGAGAGAACUCGGGUGAAGGAACUAGGCAAAAUGGUGCCGUAACUUCGGGAGAAGGCACGCUGAUAUGUAGGUGAAGUCCCUCGCGGAUGGAGCUGAAAUCAGUCGAAGAUACCAGCUGGCUGCAACUGUUUAUUAAAAACACAGCACUGUGCAAACACGAAAGUGGACGUAUACGGUGUGACGCCUGCCCGGUGCCGGAAGGUUAAUUGAUGGGGUCAGCGCAAGCGAAGCUCUUGAUCGAAGCCCCGGUAAACGGCGGCCGUAACUAUAACGGUCCUAAGGUAGCGAAAUUCCUUGUCGGGUAAGUUCCGACCUGCACGAAUGGCGUAAUGAUGGCCAGGCUGUCUCCACCCGAGACUCAGUGAAAUUGAACUCGCUGUGAAGAUGCAGUGUACCCGCGGCAAGACGGAAAGACCCCGUGAACCUUUACUAUAGCUUGACACUGAACAUUGAGCCUUGAUGUGUAGGAUAGGUGGGAGGCUUUGAAGUGUGGACGCCAGUCUGCAUGGAGCCGACCUUGAAAUACCACCCUUUAAUGUUUGAUGUUCUAACGUUGACCCGUGAUCCGGGUUGCGGACAGUGUCUGGUGGGUAGUUUGACUGGGGCGGUCUCCUCCUAAAGAGUAACGGAGGAGCACGAAGGUUGGCUAAUCCUGGUCGGACAUCAGGAGGUUAGUGCAAUGGCAUAAGCCAGCUUGACUGCGAGCGUGACGGCGCGAGCAGGUGCGAAAGCAGGUCAUAGUGAUCCGGUGGUUCUGAAUGGAAGGGCCAUCGCUCAACGGAUAAAAGGUACUCCGGGGAUAACAGGCUGAUACCGCCCAAGAGUUCAUAUCGACGGCGGUGUUUGGCACCUCGAUGUCGGCUCAUCACAUCCUGGGGCUGAAGUAGGUCCCAAGGGUAUGGCUGUUCGCCAUUUAAAGUGGUACGCGAGCUGGGUUUAGAACGUCGUGAGACAGUUCGGUCCCUAUCUGCCGUGGGCGCUGGAGAACUGAGGGGGGCUGCUCCUAGUACGAGAGGACCGGAGUGGACGCAUCACUGGUGUUCGGGUUGUCAUGCCAAUGGCACUGCCCGGUAGCUAAAUGCGGAAGAGAUAAGUGCUGAAAGCAUCUAAGCACGAAACUUGCCCCGAGAUGAGUUCUCCCUGACCCUUUAAGGGUCCUGAAGGAACGUUGAAGACGACGACGUUGAUAGGCCGGGUGUGUAAGCGCAGCGAUGCGUUGAGCUAACCGGUACUAAUGAACCGUGAGGCUUAACCUUACAACGCCGAAG